RNAcentral lists this ribosomal RNA (484 nucleotides) under uncultured bacterium. Its description in RNAcentral is "partial 16S ribosomal RNA". It matches the Rfam family "Bacterial small subunit ribosomal RNA", at positions 30 to 507 of the family's 1533-position model. The record is from RNAcentral.
AUUGAACGCUGGCGGCAGGCCUAACACAUGCAAGUCGAGCGGAUGAAGGGAGCUUGCUCCUGGAUUCAGCGGCGGACGGGUGAGUAAUGCCUAGGAAUCUGCCUGGUAGUGGGGGACAACGUCCGGAAACGGGCGCUAGUACCGCAUACGUCCUGAGGGAGAAAGUGGGGGAUCUUCGGACCUCACGCUAUCAGAUGAGCCUAGGUCGGAUUAGCUAGUUGGUGGGGUAAAGGCCUACCAAGGCGACGAUCCGUAACUGGUCUGAGAGGAUGAUCAGUCACACUGGAACUGAGACACGGUCCAGACUCCUACGGGAGGCAGCAGUGGGGAAUAUUGGACAAUGGGCGAAAGCCUGAUCCAGCCAUGCCGCGUGUGUGAAGAAGGUCUUCGGAUUGUAAAGCACUUUAAGUUGGGAGGAAGGGCAGUAAGUUAAUACCUUGCUGUUUUGACGUUACCAACAGAAUAAGCACCGGCUAACUUCGUG